UACAGAGGGUGCAAGCGUUAAUCGGAAUUACUGGGCGUAAAGCGCGCGUAGGUGGUUCGUUAAGUUGGAUGUGAAAUCCCCGGGCUCAACCUGGGAACUGCAUUCAAAACUGUCGAGCUAGAGUAUGGUAGAGGGUGGUGGAAUUUCCUGUGUAGUGGUGAAAUGCGUAGAUAUAGGAAGGAACACCAGUGGCGAAGGCGACCACCUGGACUGAUACUGACACUGAGGUGCGAAAGCGUGGGGAGCAAACAGG
This 253-nucleotide ribosomal RNA is filed under the name uncultured bacterium. Its description in RNAcentral is "partial 16S ribosomal RNA". It matches the Rfam family "Bacterial small subunit ribosomal RNA", at positions 524 to 776 of the family's 1533-position model. The record is from RNAcentral.